Molecule: long non-coding RNA, 591 nt
Organism: Passer domesticus (house sparrow)
Lineage: Eukaryota; Metazoa; Chordata; Aves; Passeriformes; Passeridae
Exons: 3
Source: RefSeq, a predicted model, not a curated record
CUCAGUGUGAAGAAGCUGGGACUGCUUUCCCCUUGGAUUUGUAUGUCUGGAGGAAGAGGCAGGACAGGGCUGGAGCUGAGAGCCUUGAGGUGCCAUACAGAACCCCUGGUUUACACAGAGCCCCACAGCCAGGGUUUAGCCUGUGUUUAACCUGUGAUGUUCCUGUAAGCACUUUCAGCAGUUCAUGCUCAGUGCUCACCACAGGCUCUUGGAAAGAAGCCACGGGUGGAGUUUGAACUGAGAGUCCUGGACCGUGGGUUGCUGAUGAUUUUAACACAGCCAGAUGUGUCCUGUUCCUUCCUCAAAACUGAGCUGCUGCGCCUCUCUUCAGUCUGUGAAAGCCCUCCAGAAGCUUUGAGCAGCCUGCUUUAGUGGAAGGUAUCCCCGCCCAUGGCAGGGGGUGGAAUUCAAUGCUCUGUAAGUUCCCUUCCAACCCAAACUGUCCCAUGAGUCUAAGAAACUAAACCAAAAUGUUCCAACCUACUAUCACAGUAGGGGAGAAGAAAUGCAUUUGCUUCAGCUGGACUUAAAUUAAAGAAAAAAUGACUGAAUUUAGGCUAAUAUGUCCAAGUAAAUCUAAGUGCAACUACA